Molecule: unclassified non-coding RNA, 647 nt
Filed under: uncultured Prochlorococcus sp.
Lineage: Bacteria; Bacillati; Cyanobacteriota; Cyanophyceae; Synechococcales; Prochlorococcaceae
Description: partial 16S-23S ribosomal RNA intergenic spacer; may also contain 16S ribosomal RNA and 23S ribosomal RNA
Rfam family: tRNA (bases 305-377)
Source: RNAcentral
UUGUGGAGGAGGACGCCGAAGGUGGGGCUAAUGACUGGGGUGAAGUCGUAACAAGGUAGCCGUACCGGAAGGUGCGGCUGGAUCACCUCCUAACAGGGAGACAACAAAAUGUUUAAUAUUAUUAUUUUGUCACCUUAGGUCGAUCGGUAUCUCACGUUCUUAAUUUGUUAAGAAUUUCAUUUCCUAAGUUUUUCUAGGUCACACCCAUUAUUUUUCCUGGGCCAUUAGCUCAGGUGGUUAGAGCGCACCCCUGAUAAGGGUGAGGUCCCUGGUUCAAGUCCAGGAUGGCCCAUAUCUCUAUGUUGGGGGUAUAGCUCAGUUGGUAGAGCGCCUGCUUUGCAAGCAGGAUGUCAGCGGUUCGAGUCCGCUUACCUCCACUGAUUACCACCUCUUCCAUAACAGGUAGAAAGGAAAUGUUUUGAGUUGUGAUCAUUAUUCUGAACGAAUCUAGCUUCCUAAUGAAACCAUUAAGAUGCUGGACUCAUUGAAUUAAUUUCAUUGUUUUCAGAGAACCUUGACAACUGCAUAGAUUAUUUUUAAAGACAACAAGCAUCUUUAAUGAUGCAGAUUUAUUAUUUGUGCUAAUGCAUUAAUAACAAUUCUAUUAAGCUGAUGCUUCAAUUUUGAAGUUAUUGGUCAAGCUACAA